This 68-nucleotide transfer RNA is filed under the name Pista cristata. Its description in RNAcentral is "tRNA-Tyr". Lineage: Eukaryota; Metazoa; Annelida; Polychaeta; Terebellida; Terebellidae. The record is from RNAcentral.
AAUAAGGUGGCUGAAAUUUUUAAGCAGAAGACUGUAAACCUUCCAAUGGAGACUCUCUCCCCUUAUUA